RNAcentral lists this small RNA (82 nucleotides) under Flavobacterium swingsii. RNAcentral's name for it is "Flavo-1 RNA". It matches the Rfam family "Flavo-1 RNA". Lineage: Bacteria; Pseudomonadati; Bacteroidota; Flavobacteriia; Flavobacteriales; Flavobacteriaceae. The record is from RNAcentral.
UUUUAGCCCUGAUGGAGUGGAAAUCCUUGUCUCGUUUUUUUUUUUUUAACGAGACAAGAUUAAAGCGACAGCAGGAAGAAAC